RNAcentral lists this small RNA (17 nucleotides) under Arabidopsis thaliana (thale cress). RNAcentral describes it as "ATSL179610". The record is from RNAcentral. Lineage: Eukaryota; Viridiplantae; Streptophyta; Magnoliopsida; Brassicales; Brassicaceae.
AAGAGAAGGGUAUAACC